GUUCUCUGCCAUGUGAGAACAUGGCAUCCCUUCCCUUCAGAUGAUGCAGCCCUCACCAGACAAGUGAACCUGCUGGCACCUUGAUCUUGGAUUUCCUGGCCUCCAGAACUUUUGGCCUUUGCUGAGUGUAUACUCAUGGUGCAGUUCAACAGAUGCUUCUCUCCUCUAUUUCCUGCAAAUUGGCAGCUGGAUCCAGAGGUUAAUUGGACUUCAGUUUGAUCUCACUGGCAAGACUACAGUUUCUGUGGGUCAGGAAUCCAAGAGUGGCUUACAUGGACGGUUCUGAAGUCAUCUGAAGGCUUGACUG
This 307-nucleotide long non-coding RNA is filed under the name Homo sapiens (human). RNAcentral describes it as "HSALNT0377830". Lineage: Eukaryota; Metazoa; Chordata; Mammalia; Primates; Hominidae. The record is from RNAcentral.